GCCGCUCGCGCCCGACCGGACGGGCACCGGCCUCUUAAGCCGGAGUGAAGAGGUUCAAGUCCUCUGGGCGGUA
Molecule: transfer RNA, 73 nt
Filed under: Actinomadura darangshiensis
Lineage: Bacteria; Bacillati; Actinomycetota; Actinomycetes; Streptosporangiales; Thermomonosporaceae
Rfam family: tRNA
About the family: Transfer RNA (tRNA) molecules are approximately 80 nucleotides in length. Their secondary structure includes four short double-helical elements and three loops (D, anti-codon, and T loops).
Source: Rfam by way of RNAcentral